Molecule: ribosomal RNA, 328 nt
Filed under: uncultured Streptococcus sp.
Lineage: Bacteria; Bacillati; Bacillota; Bacilli; Lactobacillales; Streptococcaceae
Description: bacterial SSU rRNA
Rfam family: Bacterial small subunit ribosomal RNA
Source: RNAcentral
UCGUCAGCUCGUGUCGUGAGAUGUUGGUUAAGUCCCGCAACGAGCGCAACCCUCGACCUUAGUUGCCAGCAUUCAGUUGGGCACUCUAAGGUGACUGCCGGCUAAAAGUCGGAGGAAGGUGGGGAUGACGUCAAAUCAUCAUGCCCCUUAUGACCUGGGCUACACACGUGCUACAAUGGUUGGUACAACGAGUUGCGAGUCGGUGACGGCGAGCUAAUCUCUUAAAGCCAAUCUCAGUUCGGAUUGUAGGCUGCAACUCGCCUACAUGAAGUCGGAAUCGCUAGUAAUCGCGGAUCAGCACGCCGCGGUGAAUACGUUCCCGGGCCUU